This 353-nucleotide ribosomal RNA is filed under the name uncultured bacterium. Its description in RNAcentral is "bacterial SSU rRNA". It matches the Rfam family "Bacterial small subunit ribosomal RNA", at positions 917 to 1264 of the family's 1533-position model. The record is from RNAcentral.
GGGCCCGCACAAGCGGUGGAGCAUGUGGCUUAAUUCGAGGCAACGCGAAGAACCUUACCUGGUCUUGACAUGCCCGUCAUAGUUUUCCGAAAGGAAUUCGUCAGUUCGGCUGGACGGUGCACAGGUGCUGCAUGGCUGUCGUCAGCUCGUGUCGUGAGAUGUUCGUUAAGUCCGGCAACGAGCGCAACCCCUCGUUCCUUAGUUCGCCAGGCGGUAUUGCCGGGGACUCUAGGAAGACAAACCUCGUGUAGAGGUGGGAAGGUGGGGACGACGUCAAGUCAGUAUGGCCCUUACGACCAGGGCUGCACACGUGCUACAAUGCCCAGCACAAUGGGAUGCAACGCCGCGAGGUU